Long non-coding RNA from Nannospalax galili (Upper Galilee mountains blind mole rat), 7069 nucleotides. RefSeq lists it as uncharacterized. The transcript is spliced from 2 exons. The record is from RefSeq and is a predicted model, not a curated record. NCBI's taxonomy places the organism in Eukaryota, Metazoa, Chordata, Mammalia, Rodentia, Spalacidae.
GCCAUGUUGGGAGCUCGGGAGCGGUGCUGGAGAGCGGGCUGAGGUUUCUGGGCGCGUGGAGCAGAGCGGUGGUGCGGUGGGGACGGGGAGAAGGAGGACCGAGGAGUCGAGAGCCGCGCGCACCGGCCUGGGACUGGAGCGAGGUUUCACUGGGGGCAGGCAGCGCGGUACGACCUAAGGUGGCUGCCUUCUCCGGUCGGAGUGAGCCCCGGCCGCCCGGCCCCGCAGGGCUUGCGUAGGGCCCCACGCCUCUUGCUCUGCUCUAGCCGAGGGAAUCCUGUCCGCCGAGGGCCCCUUAGACCCGCCAGCCGGACUGUCUGGGCGAUCCUGAACUUCACUGUGGAAAGAUGAGAAAUUGCACUUCCUCCUCAGGGUCUCUGAAGGGUUAAAAAUGCUAUAUAUGUACUUUGUAUUUUUUAAUUCUCACUUCCUUUUGCAUCUUAUUCUUAAAAUUAAUUGGUUUAAAGCUGGAGAUGUAAUUCGGUGGAACAUUCACCUAGCAUACUCAAGACCCUGGGUUGGAUCCCCAGAACUGGUUCUUUCUGAACAGUGAAGGUAUGAAUAACACCUCUGUUAGGAGUUAAUACCAUUACAGCUCAUAGUAGAUCCUUCUGUCAAAGAAAGGGAAUCAUGUUCAUUUUAUAGGACCUUUUAUUUAAUUUUUUUUUUUUUUUUUUUUUUUUUUUUGAGACAGGGUCUCCCUGUAGUGGGGCUGUCCUGGAACUCUAUGUAGACCAGGCUGGCCUUGAACUCACAGAGAUCCACCUGCCUCUGCUUCCCGAGGGCUGGGAUUAAAGGCAUGUGCCACCUUGCCUAGCUACAGAACUUUUAUCUAAGCAAAAUCUAAGUCUGAGUUAUUGUAGAAGAUUAUUGAGAGAAAAAUAAAGACAACUUUUACAGGAAAAAAAUUCCAUAUUCCUCUUUAGAAACUUAAGGCCAGAAAAAGGAAAAGAUUUUACAAAAAAUAUGUAUCGUUCAAGUUUCCCCUUUGAUUGUUUCUCACAGUCUAGUUUCCUUAAGUGGACAUGGAUGAACAUACCAUUUGAAUUUAGCAACUCUUAGCUUCUUUUGGAACUAUCCUUAAUUCAUUUUGAACAGUAAGAAAAUGAAUUCUUCAUGUUUUCAGCAUUUUUUGAGUUAAUAAUAUUUAGGAAACAAAAGUCUCCAGAGAGUGCCCUACCUGUUGUGUUUGUAACAGGUUGGCAUAGAUUUUGUGACUGUAUUUCUUGUGGUACAUAAGGUAAAUAGAGUAAACAUCUCAUGGCCAGAAUUUGAGAUCUAAAUGCCCUUAGUUGAUAACUACCAAGAAAAACAAUCCUUAUUUAUCCUACUGUCUUUAUUUCUCAAGUUUUAACAGGUUUGGAUAAAGGGGCAGUAGAAAGCAAGUCAUUGACUAAAGUAUAUGCAGAUUAACUGUAUUUAUAAAUAUAGCCAUUUAGGGAAAUUCACAUAUGCAAAGAUGCUCAGUGUAUGCCGUUAUGUAGAUAUGUAUUCACAGGUCUUCAUUUCAUAGAGAAUCUUUGAGGAUGCUGUCUGCAUGAAUGUGCUGUAAAGGGUGAUCCUCUGAGUUGUAUCUUUUAUAAACAGCUUUAUUGAGGUGAAAUUCAUACACACAGUUCACCCAUUUCAAGUCUGCAGUCCAGAGGGUUUCAGUUUGUUCAGUUUCCCAACCAUCAACACAAAUAAACAAAAUAGACAAAACAACCUUGUAAGUAUGCAAAAGUAAUCGUGGAAGGAUUUUGGUUUUGCUCUAAGGUGGUAAUAAGCAAAGUUUACUAUUACAGGUAAUAGUGACAUAGAGUAUGUCCAUUACAGUGUCCAUUACAGUUGGGACACUGAACAAUUACAUGAUAUAACACUUUGUCAACAGUUGAGAAGUUAUUAAGUGUGUUGUGCUAUUUAUUUCUCUUUCCACUUGACUAACGGAUAGUUUGCCUUUCUUGAUUUCAGUGCCACGAGACUACUCCAUUUUCGGUGUCCUGUUUUGUGUGUUUUUCUAAUAAGGUGCUGCUUCUGUUUCUUGCUGCUUUUGAGACAGUUUGUAAACAGUUUUCCUUGCUUUUCAGUUGGAUUGUUUCACCAUGAAGGCUUGCUGAAUGUUCUCCUUUUCCAGAUAAAUUCUGAAUUUACAUAAUAAUAAAUCACCAAAUUUCAGGGUGUUGAAGAAUGAAUGAAUAAAUGAGAAUAGAGAGAAGUAGGUCUUAAGUAUAGAUAGAGGUUUGAAUCUGGAAAAACAGAACACAAACAAACAAUAACAACAACAAAAAAAAAAAAAACAAGAAAUAAUGGAUUAGGGAGGACAGGAUUAAAAGUGUUCAUUAAGAUGGUAGACCAAAACCUAAUUAAGCCAUUACUUAGAAGCCAAAGUUACAUUCUACCUCAGGGCACAGUGAUCAGUUCUUAAGGCAGUCAGGACACUUCAGCUCCCACUCUGCUAGGAAAUCCAGCCAAGACUGGGAGGAGGAGUACAGAAAUUCUUUGGCAUUAUCUGUUAUGCAUGGUACUCAGUGAUUUGGGGGUGGGACCUGACAGCACAAACCUAUGAAGGUAGAACCAGGGAAAUUACAAGUUAGAGCCUAGUUUGAGCUAUAUAGGAAAUUCUCAGCCAGCUUGAGUUACAUAGUGAAACCCUAUCCCACAAAAAUGAUUUUAAUUUGAUUUUGUCUUGUCAUAGUUUCCAUUUAUCUGAACUUUUUUGCCUACCUAUAUGAUCAAACUUGGACUGUGGGCAUUUUUUUGUGAUUCUACUAAAAGAAAAAAAAAAAGUAUAGCACCUGUUGAGUGAUGAAUUUUAUUCUAAAAGGCGAUAUUUGCUUUUCACACGUAUAGCAUUAAUAUACCCAAACCCAACUGGCAUCCUUACAACCACUAUUAGAGAAAGCAGUUGGUGUUCAGUGAAUGGGACUUCUCCCUGCUCAGUGACAUUUAUCAAUGUCUGUUACUGACAGGAGAAAGCUAGGAUAAUUGAAUUCAUUAAAUUACUUAUGUGAGAAAUAUGUAAUUGUGCAAAUACAGAAAGAUGCACAAGGAGAAAAGCAACUGACAGGCAUCACAGCCCUCCACAAACAGAAUAAAUCCAAUUCUAACAGUUACAAAUUAAAUUUUACAUUGCCUGAAGUCAUUCUUAUCCCAUUACUUAACUGCUUUCUCUAUAGAGAUUGAACUAGAAAGAAAAAUGAAGUCAGUAAAGAAAGGAGCAGCCAAGAUAGUGAAGGUUCCAUUUGAUGAAGAAAAAGUACCAGGGAAGUUAUUCAUUACUAAGGCUUGACACUAAUCAAAUGUAGGCCCGUGUGGUCUCAUGAGAUACAUCAAGAGCUUUAACCUGGGGUUUCUAAGGAAAGACAGUACAGCUGCAAGUUGAAUUGCUGUGUAGUAAGGUAGCAUAUUUUUUGGACUACACAUCCAGAGUGACUCCCCAAAUCUCAAAAUUUGAUGUUCAGGCUACUACCUGUUCCUGGCAGUGGUAAGACUGAAUUCAGCAGUCUUGUAAUACACAACUGUUUGGAGUAAGGGAGAACUGUUAAUAAAUGUAAGUAUAGGGUUUGGACACCUAGAUUCAGAGAGCUGCUUGGCAUCCCUUUUUGAGCUAAUAGUGGUGACUGAUUGUUAAUACCUAUGGUCUGGAGUAAACUUCAUGUAGGUUGUUUGGAACUUAAGUAGAAAUGAUCUGUUGAUGGGCUGUCAUAGUUGAGGUAACAAUUUUUAGAGGACACUGGUGCUAUGAUAGAAUUGGCUUAAAAGGCAUUGGACAGUUGACAAAUGACUGGGAAGUAAUUCCUCUGAUAACACUGAUAGAAAUCUUAAAGUAUUUGUGUACUUGUUAAGGUCAGACUACAACUCUUGCCAUACUGCCUAUUUGUGAAAUUAUUUCUGCUAUUAUACAUUAUGAUGGACAGGUCCACAUAAGAUCAUGUAAUCAAGGGAAAGUUGGUUUUGGCAUUUAGUAUGAACUUCAGCAAAAGGAGGAUGUGUUUGGGUCUCAGUACUACAUGGCUUUGACAUUUUGAUUCUCAGGCUUUUGAUCUGGGAAUCUACAUUUGUUGUUUUUAUUCCUGCAGUGCUGCACUUUAAAGCUGCAGCUUCGUGCAUGCUAGUCACUCUACUACUGCGGUAUGUCCCCAGUUCUGUUUAUUUACGGGGUUUUGUUCUUGUUGCUGCUGUUUUAAGGCAAGGUCACCUUACUGUCUAGUCUAGAAAUCAUGAUCCUCCUGCCUCAGCAUCCAUCGUGCUGGAAUUAAAUAGGCUGACUUGGGAAUCUGCAUUUUAAAACAUACUAAGCAAGUAAGUCUUUUGCCUAACUCAAGCCCUAAUUUUACUUAAAAGGACCAAGAUGAAUAGUUUGCCAAAGUCAAACCUCUGAUACCUUUUGUGUAAUCCUGAUUCACUUGAGUGAAGACCUUCCCCACACCUGUGUUGCACCUAGGGCCUCAAGAGUGCAGAUGAGUGCUCUAUGACUGAGGUAUGCUCAGCCCUACUUGUAUUUUGAGUCAAGGUCUUAACCAAAUUGCCUGGACUGGCUAAACUCAGUCUGAAGUAGCUGGAUUUGCAGUCCUGGCUCCUAAUUUACUCAUUGCUAUUAUAUUCUAAUACCUGUUACCCUUGCUGCAAUUCGAAGACACAUACCAAAUGAUUUGAUGUUUCCGUGAACAUAGAUAUUCAGUGAAAAAUAUAGUCCAAUCACAUAAGCAAGUAUUGUUUAGAUUAAAAAGGUAUAAUUGGGCUGGAGAGAUGGCUCAGCAGCUAAGAGCACUGACUGCUCUUACAGAGGACCUGGAUUCAGUUCCCAGCACCCAAGUGGCAGCUAAAAACCAUCUGUAACUCCACUUCUAGCCUCCACAGGCAAUGCAUAACACAGGUGUACUUACAUACAUACAGACAGAACACUCAUACACAUAAACAGAUCAAAAGGCCAGGUAGUACCUCAACCACAGUGUCAGGUAUUCAUGGUCUUUUAGGUGUAUGAGUGCUUUGCCUACAUGUAUGCACCAUGUGUGUACAGUGCCCACAGAGGCCAGAAGAGGGUUUUGGAUUCCUUGGAACUGGAGUUAGCUACAGUGUGGGUGCUGAGAACAGGAUCUGGGUCCUCUUUAAGAGCAACCAGUGCUCUUAGCCACUGAGCCAUCUCUCCAGCCCCUAUUCAUGAUCUUUCAAACUACCUACAAUGUUAUAUGAAAAUAUGCCUUCAAUUGUGACAAUCACUAUUACUACGAAUACUGUGAUUUGCUUAUAUUCAGAUUGUAUUAGAAGUUCCUAAAAAUUGAGUUAUAACUCAACUUUUUCCAAGUUCAUUCAACUACUGUCUAUUUAAAACCUGAUUUAUACCCUGAUUUAAAACCUUGGUUAAAAGGCUGAAGAGAUAGCUCGAGCUCCUCUUCCAAAGGGUCCAGGUUUAGUUCCCAGCACCCAUAUGGUAGCUAAGAACCAUCUGUAACUCCAGUUUUGGGGAUCUGACACCCUCUUCUGGCAUUGCAUGCACAAGCAAAACACUUCUACACAAAAAUCCAAAAAAAGUUAAAGCUUUGGUUAAAGUAAUUUUUGAGGGCCAAGCUGGUGGUUCCAGCCUUUAAUCCCAGCACUUGGGAGGCAGAGGUAGGCAGAUCUCUAGGUUUGAGGCCAGCCUGGUCUACAUAGAAAGUUUCAGGCCACACACCCUGUCUCCAAAAAAAAUCUUGAUUUCAUACAUGUAAACAGUGUAUUUUUAAUGCUGUAGCCAGGUGAGUAGUACCUAGCACUUGGGGAGCUCAGGAAGUAAGAUCCAGCCUGGGCUACAUAAACCAUAUCUCAAAAAAAUUAUCUCAGCACUGGAAACUUGUGCCUUCUAUAAAAUUCACAGUGCUUAUAUUCAGAAGCUUCAUUAGUUGCUUUGUAGCUCCACUGCUGGUGUCUGUGGGUUUAGCAUUCAAGCUUCACUGCAUCUACUGCGCUUGAUACAUGGUUAAAGCUUAAUAAAAGAACAAGUGAAUGACAGCAAUGUUAAGAGUGAACAACAUCAUGAAAACAAUAUAACAUUAAAUGCUGUUUUCCCAAUAAGUGAACACUGAAAGUGUUCUAAUCUACGAAUAUCAUAGGAUCCUAAACUGUUAUCUCAACAGAAAGCAAAUACUGCCCUAGAUUUAGUUUUUUUCAUUACUUGCUACAGGAAUUCCCACAGUUUUGAAUUUAAAACACAAAUAGUUUAGCAUGUAAAAAUGCUUGACAUAGAAGCCUGACUUGAGUUUAAUCCUUGAACCCAUAGUUGGAGAAAAACAACUUCCAAAAGUUGUCAUCUGACCUGCUAUGUGUACUCCUGCAUCACACACAGUAAACAUGUUCAAGUCUGCCUGGCAUUAUCUAUUAAGAAAGAAUGAGAAUUUGAGGUUGGCUCAAAUAUAUAUAAUAUACUGUUCAAGUCCUGAUAGCCAAUAUCUUUUAAGGGAAACAAAAUUACAUUCUUCUGGUAUUUUUUGAGACUUAAAGUCUCUGGUUCCAGCUGGCUUGGAACUCACUAUGUAGACCAGACUAGCCUUGAUCUCACAGAGGUUCUGUGCUCUGGAAGUCUGCAUCUGCUUCCCAAGUGGUGGAAUUAAAAGGGUGCAUCAUCAUUCCUUGCUUCAGAAAAUUACAUCCUAAACCUAAUUAUUUCAGUUUUCUAUUUGUACAUUUCCCAAACAGGCACAGCAUUGUCAAAUUACUCUGCUGACAAAAGUCUUGCUAUGCAUGGUGGCAUAAACAUAAAUCCCAGCGCUCGGGAGGCUGACAUAGGAUGAUGUUUCAAAGCCAACCUGUACUGAGACCCUGUCUCAGAAACCUUUAAAAGCUGUUUAAUUUUAAAUAGAUAUUUUGAAGACUUCGGUCAUAAAAUACAAUUUCUGCUGCAAUAAUUUUCUCUAUUUUGCUUUCACAGUGUAGUCCUGCAUCUCUUCAACUCUACCAUCCAAGACCAAGAUUUUGAACUACAAUUUUCAGGUUUUAAUCUCUCCAUACCCACAAUAUGUUUUCAUGUUGCUUGUUUAGAAGGAGAGAAAGUAAUUCAUACAAAAACAUUCUUCGGACAGAGAAAAUGCUAAUAAAAGUGAAGAAUGAUUGCCAG